Molecule: long non-coding RNA, 423 nt
Organism: Papaver somniferum (opium poppy)
Lineage: Eukaryota; Viridiplantae; Streptophyta; Magnoliopsida; Ranunculales; Papaveraceae
Exons: 3
Source: RefSeq, a predicted model, not a curated record
ACUGAAUCCCUCUCUUAAUCCGGCUAUAUGCAAAAGAUCUCUGAAUCAUUCUCUCUACCUGACUGUGUCUAUGCAAGAGAACAAGAUAGUAAUCUUUUGUUUUCCGGUUUUGUUAACUGUUGAAUGGGGAUUUCAACUCUUAUGAUCCAUUGAAGGAUUCAUAACAUGGGUUGAAACAGAAAGCUGCAUCUUCUGAAGGACUAAUAGGGGGGAUUGUUUCACAGACGUCAAUAUCAACUUCCAUAAGUCCCGGAAAUCCAUUGCUAGGGCCGUUGAAUUGCCAUGACCAGUCCAACCAAGAAGAUGGAGCUACCACAAAAUGGCCUUAUAUGAUUAUCCGGGGAAGGUUGCUAACUUUGCGACUUAUGCAUUUGGCCCAGCUAUUCUGGUCACUCCUCAUGCUGCACUCAGCAUUGUUAUCAG